GUUAAGCGACUAAGCGUACACGGUGGAUGCCCUGGCAGUCAGAGGCGAUGAAGGACGUGCUAAUCUGCGAUAAGCGUCGGUAAGGUGAUAUGAACCGUUAUAACCGGCGAUUUCCGAAUGGGGAAACCCAGUGUGUUUCGACACACUAUCAUUAACUGAAUCCAUAGGUUAAUGAGGCGAACCGGGGGAACUGAAACAUCUAAGUACCCCGAGGAAAAGAAAUCAACCGAGAUUCCCCCAGUAGCGGCGAGCGAACGGGGAGCAGCCCAGAGCCUGAAUCAGUGUGUGUGUUAGUGGAAGCGUCUGGAAAGGCGCGCGAUACAGGGUGACAGCCCCGUACACAAAAAUGCACAUGCUGUGAGCUCGAUGAGUAGGGCGGGACACGUGGUAUCCUGUCUGAAUAUGGGGGGACCAUCCUCCAAGGCUAAAUACUCCUGACUGACCGAUAGUGAACCAGUACCGUGAGGGAAAGGCGAAAAGAACCCCGGCGAGGGGAGUGAAAAAGAACCUGAAACCGUGUACGUACAAGCAGUGGGAGCACGCUUCGGCGUGUGACUGCGUACCUUUUGUAUAAUGGGUCAGCGACUUAUAUUCUGUAGCAAGGUUAACCGAAUAGGGGAGCCGAAGGGAAACCGAGUCUUAACUGGGCGUUAAGUUGCAGGGUAUAGACCCGAAACCCGGUGAUCUAGCCAUGGGCAGGUUGAAGGUUGGGUAACACUAACUGGAGGACCGAACCGACUAAUGUUGAAAAAUUAGCGGAUGACUUGUGGCUGGGGGUGAAAGGCCAAUCAAACCGGGAGAUAGCUGGUUCUCCCCGAAAGCUAUUUAGGUAGCGCCUCGUGAAUUCAUCUCCGGGGGUAGAGCACUGUUUCGGCAAGGGGGUCAUCCCGACUUACCAACCCGAUGCAAACUGCGAAUACCGGAGAAUGUUAUCACGGGAGACACACGGCGGGUGCUAACGUCCGUCGUGAAGAGGGAAACAACCCAGACCGCCAGCUAAGGUCCCAAAGUCAUGGUUAAGUGGGAAACGAUGUGGGAAGGCCCAGACAGCCAGGAUGUUGGCUUAGAAGCAGCCAUCAUUUAAAGAAAGCGUAAUAGCUCACUGGUCGAGUCGGCCUGCGCGGAAGAUGUAACGGGGCUAAACCAUGCACCGAAGCUGCGGCAGCGACGCUGAUGCGUUGUUGGGUAGGGGAGCGUUCUGUAAGCCUGCGAAGGUGUGCUGUGAGGCAUGCUGGAGGUAUCAGAAGUGCGAAUGCUGACAUAAGUAACGAUAAAGCGGGUGAAAAGCCCGCUCGCCGGAAGACCAAGGGUUCCUGUCCAACGUUAAUCGGGGCAGGGUGAGUCGACCCCUAAGGCGAGGCCGAAAGGCGUAGUCGAUGGGAAACAGGUUAAUAUUCCUGUACUUGGUGUUACUGCGAAGGGGGGACGGAGAAGGCUAUGUUGGCCGGGCGACGGUUGUCCCGGUUUAAGCGUGUAGGCUGGUUUUCCAGGCAAAUCCGGAAAAUC
Molecule: ribosomal RNA, 1506 nt
Filed under: Escherichia coli
Lineage: Bacteria; Pseudomonadati; Pseudomonadota; Gammaproteobacteria; Enterobacterales; Enterobacteriaceae
Description: partial 23S ribosomal RNA
Rfam family: Bacterial large subunit ribosomal RNA
Source: RNAcentral